CAACUACUCCCUCUGUCCCAAAUUUCGUAUCUUAGAUUUUUCAAGAUACGGAUGUAUCUAAUACUAAAAUGUGACUUGAUACAUCCGUAUCUAGACAAAUCUAAGACAAGAAUUUUGGGAUGGAGGGAGUACUUU
Triticum aestivum (bread wheat) is the source of this 135-nucleotide non-coding RNA. NCBI's taxonomy places the organism in Eukaryota, Viridiplantae, Streptophyta, Magnoliopsida, Poales, Poaceae. The record is from Rfam.